Molecule: long non-coding RNA, 423 nt
Filed under: Androctonus crassicauda
Lineage: Eukaryota; Metazoa; Arthropoda; Arachnida; Scorpiones; Buthidae
Source: RNAcentral
UUUCUGUUUUGCCUUGCCAGUUUUUCUUUGAAGCGACAUUCGAUGGCAAAAAUCCAGAACUGUGCAGCUGCCAUUGCGGUUCUGCCAUUGACGAAAGGAUUUAAUACAGUACAAUAUGAUAUGCAGCAAUACUAUGCAUACAUUUCUCUCCGAAACAUUUGGAAAACUAGGAAGAAUUAUCACCAAGUACACACAAGUUUUCUUGCUUUUUCCGAUAUUCCUUACCCUGUUGUUAGCUACAGGAUUACAAAAUUUUCAUAUAGAUUAUUCUUUGAAGACAUUCAAUAUAGAAGGUGGUAUUGUUGACACAUAUCAAACGUUACUUUUGCAAUUAUUUCCUAUGGAUGUUUCUUAUAACUUUGAACCGGGAAGGCUCUUAAAAUUCAUUCCCUAUGGUACUGUUAUCGUGCAAGCUAUGGACAA